RNAcentral lists this ribosomal RNA (570 nucleotides) under uncultured bacterium. Its description in RNAcentral is "bacterial SSU rRNA". It matches the Rfam family "Bacterial small subunit ribosomal RNA", at positions 95 to 682 of the family's 1533-position model. The record is from RNAcentral.
GUGGCGAACGGGUGAGUAACACGUAGAUGACCUGCCCUGGAGUGGGGGAUAACCUAUGGAAACGGUGGCUAAUACCGCAUACAUCCAUAUAUCUGGGAAGAGAUGUGGGGAAAGCUCUGGUGCUCUGGGAGGGGUCUGCGUCCGAUUAGCUAGUUGGCGAGGUAAAGGCUCACCAAGGCGACGAUCGGUAGCUGGUCUGAUAGGACGAUCAGCCACACGGGAACUGAGACACGGUCCCGACUCCUACGGGGGGCAGCAGUGAGGAAUAUUGGGCAAUGGGCGAGAGCCUGACCCAGCAACGCCGCGUGGAGGAAGACGGCCUUCGGGUUGUAAACUCCUUUUGACAGGGAAGAGAGAGGACGGUACCUGUCGAAUAAGUCACGGCUAACUACGUGCCAGCAGCCGCGGUAAUACGUAGGUGACAAGCGUUAUCCGGAAUUACUGGGCGUAAAGCGCACGCAGGCGGCUGCUUAAGUCUGACGUGAAAUCUCCUGGCUUAACUGGGAGGGGUCGUUGGAAACUGGGUGGCUUGAGGUGGUGAGAGGGGUGCAGAAUUCUCGGUGUAGUGGU